Molecule: non-coding RNA, 178 nt
Filed under: Syntrophotalea acetylenica
Lineage: Bacteria; Pseudomonadati; Thermodesulfobacteriota; Desulfuromonadia; Desulfuromonadales; Syntrophotaleaceae
Also listed under: 1 other name
Description: Pelobacter acetylenicus 6S / SsrS RNA
Rfam family: 6S / SsrS RNA
About the family: E. coli 6S RNA was the first non coding RNA to be sequenced, but its function was unknown until recently. It consists of 184 nucleotides that fold into an extended hairpin structure with a large single-stranded internal bulge.
Source: Rfam by way of RNAcentral
UUGUCUCUGAGAUGCGCGAGUAUCCUGGAUAAGCUGACCAACAUAAUGAUCGAGAUGUCUUUCACCCGUUGCCAUGGUGAGCCAGCCUACCUUGCAGUGGGACGCCUGAAAUGGCCGGUGAAGACCAAGCUUUUGGUCCGGUCCUAUUUUCCGGAGCAAUCGGCAUCUCGGAGACGCA